RNAcentral lists this ribosomal RNA (497 nucleotides) under uncultured bacterium. RNAcentral describes it as "partial 16S ribosomal RNA". It matches the Rfam family "Bacterial small subunit ribosomal RNA", at positions 28 to 507 of the family's 1533-position model. The record is from RNAcentral.
GAUGAACGCUGGCGGCGUGCCUAAUACAUGCAAGUCGAGCGAACGGACGAGAAGCUUGCUUCUCUGAUGUUAGCGGCGGACGGGUGAGUAACACGUGGAUAACCUACCUAUAAGACUGGGAUAACUUCGGGAAACCGGAGCUAAUACCGGCUAAUAUUUUGAACCGCAUGGUUCAAAAGUGAAAGACGGUCUUGCUGUCACUUAUAGAUGGAUCCGCGCUGCAUUAGCUAGUUGGUAAGGUAACGGCUUACCAAGGCAACGAUGCAUAGCCGACCUGAGAGGGUGAUCGGCCACACUGGAACUGAGACACGGUCCAGACUCCUACGGGAGGCAGCAGUAGGGAAUCUUCCGCAAUGGGCGAAAGCCUGACGGAGCAACGCCGCGUGAGUGAUGAAGGUCUUCGGAUCGUAAAACUCUGUUAUUAGGGAAGAACAUAUGUGUAAGCAACUGUGCACAUCUUGACGGUACCUAAUCAGAAAGCCACGGCUAACUACGUG